RNAcentral lists this unclassified non-coding RNA (255 nucleotides) under Hevea brasiliensis (rubber tree). Lineage: Eukaryota; Viridiplantae; Streptophyta; Magnoliopsida; Malpighiales; Euphorbiaceae. The record is from RNAcentral.
UUGAAAAGUGAAUUGGCAUACAUGCAAAGCAAUUUUCUUAAUAAAGUUCCAUUAUCAUAUGAUUUAAGUUUGCACUCCUAUCUUGUGUUUGGUUACUAAUUUAUUACUUUAUUUUCAUGGUUUUGGCUUGGUUAUAUCACUUUCUGGUAUGUGUCUUCUUAACUUAUUUCUGCAUUUUAAAAUACUUGAUUUGAAGUUCACAGGUAUACUGUUGGCAAGAUCACACCAGUGCCUAUGCGUGAAGUUCGACAUUCU